This 23-nucleotide non-coding RNA is filed under the name Arabidopsis thaliana (thale cress). Lineage: Eukaryota; Viridiplantae; Streptophyta; Magnoliopsida; Brassicales; Brassicaceae. The record is from RNAcentral.
GGCUGUGUGACUUCUGUUACCUA